CUGGGACGGAGGACGGGGACAGGGGAGCCCCUGCGGCGCCACUUCUUCCUCUCCGAGUCCUGUCUGCCCUUGAUGGAGCCACUGGUGGGGUUACUUGCUGGCGGUCGGCCACUUUCGCCCCUCCCUCGCCAGCCCGCCAGCUCCCUAAGGUUUUGUGGUUUUUUGUCACCACCACACCUCAGUGUUGAGCUAAGUGAGGACGUCCCCCCAGCAAAUGUAUUGGACGGAAGGAAACGCUGUGCGGGAGGAGGCGGAGGAAAGUAGGCCACCCGGGGCUCAAGUGGUGAGAAGAGGCAGCCAGGCAGGGUGGAAGGUGGGGUGUGGCCAGCUUGUUGGGUGUCCCACCCUGUGCUGUUGGGGGCGUGGAGGGUAGUGUGGGGUGGCCAGGGCGGGCUCACGUCCUCAUCCCCCUCCUCUUUCCCAGAACCACACCCAAACCCUCUUCAACCCCCUGUGUGUGGGCUGUGGCAGGGGUCAACCUCUUGUGUUCAGGUCCCCUAGGGGCCCACCCCACUCUACUAGGAACCAGGGGUCGGAUGCUGUCAGGGGAAGCCGUGUGGCUUGAGGAGUCGAGACCCUUUCCAAAUCCACCCCUGUGGAAUCUUGAGCAAAUCCCCACACCCAACUUAGCUUCAGUGUGGUGGAGGUGGGCCCAGCGCCUCUCUUGAGGGAGUGCUGCUGUAGGUACCUUCCAGCAGGCCAGGCUCCUGAGCUGGGAUCACCAUGAAGCUGGCAUCUCUCCUGGUAGCACCUAUUCUGGGGCCUUGAGCUCCGACACUCUUACGCUGGAGUUGAACUUAAGCUGCAGCGGGAGGGCUUUAAGCUAGACCCGCAGAAUUUGAGCUCUAAGGACUUGCUUAAGAUUGGGAGAGUAACUUCUUCUGCAAGGGGGCCAGCAGAGGGGCUCUCGGGUUGAAGGAGGGUUAUGCUGGCCCAAGCAUUGCCAUCAUAGCCACAGCUGGGCUGUGCCUCAGAGUCUGCAGGAGCAGGGCCCUUGGCCUUGGCUCCCAGGACAGUUGGGAGAUGGAGGGCAGCCCCAGUAGCUGCCAUCUUCCUGUCAUCUACCCACACGUCUCCAGAUCUGUUUGCCUGCAUCAGGGCCUGACUCCUGCCCCACAUGGGCCUGUGUACCAUUCAAGAAGAAAGCUUAGCUGUCUCCAACCCCGGCAUUCCCACAAGGGAAAGCUUGAGAUCUGCUGAGGGAGGGUCCUGGGAAGAGGCCUUCUUCUGUUCUCCUGUACAGCAGAGGUGUUGGCAUGUGCACGUGUGUGUCUGCAUGUGUGUGCAUCUGUGAACAUCUGUCUGUGGCUCUCGUUCUGAGCACCUGUGUGUCUCCGCUUCUGCCUUGUUCUGUCUUGGCACCUCUGGGUGUCUGUAUGUCUUUUUCUAAUCCUGGCUCUCUUCUUGUGCUUCUCUGGGCCUCGUCUUUUCAUCUUUGUGUUUUUUGCUUACUGUAUUGUAAUAUCCAUUUCCAUGCUGGAAUUCUCCUACCAGACCAUGGGCUCUGUGAGGGCAAAGACUGUCUUUUAUCUUCCCAUGUGUGCACAUAGUAGGAGCCUAGUACAUUUCUGUGGAGUAAAUGAAUGGAGAUCUGGCUCUGUUAAGAAUCCCUUAGUGUCUGUGUCUCUGGCUGCCUGACUUUCUGGGUCUCUGUGACCCUCAGAAGCUAGUUUUGUGGUUCUGUGUAGGGGUAUACCUGGUUUAUUCCCAUGCAUAUGUGUAUUUCUUGUGGUAGUUUUUCUCUCCUUGUCUAUGUCUGUUUCAGGUUUGUUGAUCUGCCUGAAUGUCUCUGCAUGUGGCCCCACAUCUCUCCUCAUGCCUGCUGGUCUCAGAGUAUAAUGGAUGCUGAGUCCAAAGCAGGUGUUUCCUGGGCAUUCGUGGCAGGGGAAUUGGACUUCCAAAUCUGCCCCCUCUCCACGUGGGUGAGCUUCUCCCAGACUCUCCAUCAUAAGAGGCUGUGAGCACCCGAAACUGAUCACCUUCUCAGCCUAGAAUGGGAGUGAGCUGUGGUCCUCUCCCUCUCUUCCUCUCACUGUGACCCCAAUCACAGCACCUGCCCUUCUCUAAUUGGCUGAUGUCAAUGGAAGGGGGAAGGGAAGGCUGAUGUCCAAGGAGGAAAUCCCAUUAGGUGAGCCAGAGCCAAGUUAUUAGUGGUUAAGAUGUAAUUGGAGUUGGUGAAUAAUCUCAUUCAAUUCAUCACGUAUUUAUGGCGCAUCCAGCUGUGUGACCUUGGGUGCGGUGUUUCACCUCUCUGAUGAAAUAAGACCUUAAUGUUUGCCAAGGACCCUGGAUUUCUGAGAUUCUGAGUCCCUGAAGCUGGAAGGAAUCUCUACCGAAUUCCGAUCACUUGCUGCUGCCUCUCUCCUUGCUUCUGAGUUAUUUGUGCAAUUACCUGCAUUCCCUCCUAAACUCUACAUUCCUUCAGGCCAGGGUCUUAUAUAACUAUCCCCCACAGUUUAGUGCCUUGCACACAGUGGGUGAUUUAUCAGUUUUUCUGAAUGGAUGACUGAAUGCUAGGCACUGUGAUUAAUAACAAAGAAAUAGAAUUAGAAGCCCUGUGCUUAGGCAGUAUACAAUUUUAGGGGAACGGGGAGGGCGGAGAUGACCUUUGCACUUUAUAUUAUAGCUUUGGGAACUUGUGUGAGUUCCUCAGCCUCUUUGUGCCUCUAUCUCCUCAUUAAUAACAUGCAAAUAAUAACGGCUACUAACUAAGGAUUUUGUGAGGAUUAAAUGUGAUCGUAUGUACAGUUAAAUCCUUCGUGUAGUGUUUGGCACUUAGUAGAUCCUUAAUUAAUGUGUGUUCCUGCUCUAUUCCCAACUAGAGAACAAGCACCAAGCCCUGUGGAUUUCAGAAGAUGAGGAAACUGAGGCCUAGGAGAGUUAAAGGACCGCCCAAGACCACACCACCGCACAGAGACACCAGGACUGAACGCUUGUGUCUUCUGACUUGCAGCUUCCAGCAGCCUGGAUCAUGCUCUUCUUACCUCAUCUGGGUAGCAAGAGAAGGCUGCUCUAAAGCUACCUUACUCCCAGGUUGCAGGAGCAGAACCAAGACGUUCAGAUCCCUUGAGGAAGAGAAUGGCUCAGCAUGAGGGGGCCUCACCCAGAGCCCUGGGUCUGCUCUGAGCCCCUCACUUAAAGAGGGAAGCUGACCAAAUGAGCAGAACAGAGCAACAGAGCAAGUGGCACCAGAGAGACCACCCACGGAGGGCACUUCGUGAAGAGCGAGGAUUGGCUCUGACCAGUGCUUAUCAGCAGGCACACAGGUAGUUGAAAACAAAUCCCAGAUAUCAGGUGACUUCAUGUGGAAUGACUUCAGUAAGUACCUCUCACUAACUGGCCAUGCCAGGAUCACACCUGAGGAAAUUAACAGUAAUCCCAUGGUGAGCGUCAGCUGACACUCAGUCCCUCUUUAACUGCGCCCCGCCUCCUCCCGUAAAUAUGUAAACCCACACUGCAAGGGUGGAUGGAGGGCCAUGUGGCCGGGCGGCUUCUGUGCUUUAGCUUUGGAGCCUUAAGAGGGUGAGGGUUGAAUACCUGUGGCUUUGGGUGGGUGGUUUGCUUUAUGGGGCCUCUCUUUCUUCCUAUGCCAAAGGUACUGACCUCUCCCAAGGCGGUCAGGAGGACUGAAUGAAAUUGUAUGAGUACAGUACUGGGUACUUGGUAGGGACUCAAUGAAUGGUGGCAGUGCUUACGAUGUUUUCUAUUUUGCAUAUAAGGAAACUGAAGUUCAGAGCAGGAGAGUGACUUGCUCAAGCUCACACAGCUCAGAGUGGUUAAGCUAGGAUGGAAGCGUAGGUCUUCUAAGUGCUCUGGGAUGUGUGUUCAACACAGCCCCCUCACCCCCUCUAAUACUGGCCUUGUCUGCCACCACCCCAUACUACAAAUGGAAAUGACACAGAGGGUGACAUCAACAGGUCCCUUUUUCUCGAUAGCCACUAGAUCAUGGUGCUGUGGGCUGAGCAGAUGAUUGAUAGGACAUCACUGGGCCUGGCUCUCCAGGAGACCUAGAAAAAGAUCUUGCCCCUCUCUGGGCCUCAGUUUCCCUAUCUGUACCACAAGGGCAUUGACCUCCACGUGGUCUUCGAGACCUCUUCCAGUUCUGCUUUGUUUGCACCAGGGUUAGUAACCGUGGGAAUGGGAGAGAUGGAGAUACUUGAGGCUGAUGGGGAGUUGCACAGCCCAAGACCCCAGGCUGCAAGACAGUAUGGGGAUGAGGGCGAUCCUCCCAUAUUGGAGAUCAGGGAUGGGGUGGCCCAGCUAGGUAGAAGUGAAGCUCCCCCACCCCCACUGGAUUGUGAACCUCCUGAAAUUAGGGCUGUGACUUGUACCUUAUAAGUAUCACAUAGAUGAGAAAAAAUUUCAUCGAUGUAAUGGAUGGAACACUAGAUAGGAGAUCAGUAAGGAAAUAGAAGACUUUAAAAACACUGUAAACCAGCUAGACCUAACAGACACUGCUUUCUAACGGCGAUUGAAGAGCACAUUCCACCCAGCAACAGCAGAAUACACAUUCUUCUCAAGUGCACACGGACCAUUCUCUAGCAUAGAUCAUAUCUUAGGCCACAAAUCAAAUCUCAAUAAAUUUAGAAAAAUUGAAAUUACACAAAAUAUGUUCUCUGACAACAGAGUAAUGAAAUUAGAAGGUCAAAAACAGAAGGAAAUUUGAAAAUUCACAAAUAUGUAAAAAUUAAACGACACACUCCUAACCAAAGGGUCAAAAAAUAAAUCAUAAGGGAAAUUAGAAAAUACUUUGAGACGAAUGAAAACAAAAACACAACAUACUAAAACUUACAGGAUGCAGUAAAAGCAGUGCUCAGAGGGAAAUUUAUAGCUGUAAACACCUACCUUAAAAUAGAAGAUCUCAAAUCAAUAACCUUCCACCUUACUAAAAAAAAAAAAAGCAAACUAAAUCCAAAGCAAGCAAAUAAAAAAAUUAGAGCAGAGAUAAAUGAAACAGAGAACAGAAAAACGAUAGAGAAAAAUCAGCAAAACCAAAAGUUGGUUGUCUGAAAUGAUCUACAGAAUUGACAAACCUUUAGCUAAACUGACCGAGAAAAAAAAAAAGAGAGAGAAAACUGAAAUUACUAAAGUCAGGAAUGGAAGUGGAGACCUUGCCACUGACCUUACAGAAAUAAAAAGGAUUAUACAAUUUCACUGAUAGAUUCGAAAGAAACUCCACAACAUUUCUAGAGAUUGGAGAGAACAUCCGGAAAUGGUUACCAGUAGUUGCCUUCAGGGAAACAGGGCUGGGGUGGGUGGAGCUGGGGUGCCUGCUUUUUAUUAUAAGUCCUUAAGGGCUAUUUUUGUAAAUGCUUUGAUUGCAAAAUAUAAGACACAUACAGAAAAGUGGAUUUUUAAAAAGUACCGCUCAGUAAUUUAUCACCAAGUGAAUAUCCAUGAAACCACCACUUGGUCAAGAGGAACAUUACCACCUCCCCAGAAGCCCCUCCUGUACUCUAGCCAAUCCUCCUCCCCAAAGAAAACCACCAUUCUGACCUUUAUGGCAAAUACUCUUGCUCUCCUUGAUAGUUUUGCCAUCUCUACACACAAUAGUUGGGUUCAGUUCGUGCUUGAUAAAUCCAAUCAAGUAGCAGGUCCUCUUUUGGGUCCGGCUUCUUGCAUUUUACAUUCUGUUUGUGAGAUUCCCCAUGCUGUUGUAGGAAGCAAUCGUUGGCUCAAAUUUUCUUAGCUGUAUCAUAUUCCAUUUUAUGAGUACACCAUCAUUUAUGUGUCUGUUCAACUAUUGAUGGAAUGGGCUUUUUAAAAAGCCAUGUACCUAAAGAUAGGUUGAUUAAAAUAUUUCUGAUAAAAUGCACAUUUAAAAUGCAACUCAACACAUAUUAGUUUAAUUUCAUCCCUAGGAUCCUCAUUCCCUUUUCUGCUCCAAUAAGUCAUGAAGACAGCUUGGGUCUCAGAAGAAAAUAGGCCGUUUAAGCAGAAGCCCAGAGGGAACACAUCUGAGAGAUGCCCACACCCUCAUGGGGUCCUCUCAUCAGCCCUUCUCCCCAAAUUUUCAGCCUCAAAUGGGGGAGGUCACACAGAUGGAGAGAAACCACUCUCUCCCUUCCACCCGAGGUCUGCAGAUUCCUGACACACAUACGAGUGCACACCCAGGCAGACAGGCAAGAGCGUGGCCCCCACACAUGAGCACACACACGGGCACCUAGGCAUAUCCCAGAAGUGGCAAUGCCUGCUGGCACCUGACCAGCAGGCGAGGUCUGUGCACAGAGAAGUUGUGGAAGAAGAGGAGGGGAAAGCGUGGGGGAAAAAUCCCCUCAUUUCUGAAGAAAUGUCCCAGAUUAGAUUUGUAAAUCAAAAACCAAUAUAUAACAUGCAAGAAUUGAUCUGUUUUAUAUUCCUCAGUUACAUUUUUGUGAAGCACAUUUAGAAGAUUUAGAACGUAUUUGCGCCUGCUGGUUGGGCCAUUAUAUGCUUGAGUUCAUACAUCUAUUUGUGAGGCUAUAAAACAGGCAUCGACUACCAUGUAAAUUGUGUUCUCCACAAUAAAUUAUAUGCAUACUUGCAAAAAUACAUAACUGCCGUGCCUGGGCCAACGCGGCCAGAAUACUAAUGAGGGCGAAAGUUGCUUUGUCCCUCUUCUCCGGCCUAAUUUAGCCUCUACAUCAAAAAUUAUGUAGGAAAAAUCACUUUAUCCUCUCACUGAGAAAUAAAAUAGCACUCAUGGGUACCCUCAUCUCUUCCCACCCCCCUUCCUUUUAACCGAACACUACCAUUUUCAUACUAAUUUUAGCUGCUCCAGGUUUACGGGGAGGAAGGCUGGCUGAGCUGAAGCUGGGGUGCCAGCGGGCUGCCUGGAUGUAUGAGAAGGCUGUGGGAGUGGGCAUGUGCAUGCACACACUCACACACACACAUGCAUACACACGUAGGCACAUUCCCUCCGUGUGGUUUGAAUUCGCUUGUGCCAGGGCAUGUUCACAGCAUGCACACAGACCUACAUGUAAAUGUGAAGACUCACCCCAGACACGCAUGCACAGACACUCCACGAGCAUUUGCCCACGUGGCGCAGAUUCAUUCCCUCUCCCCGGUACAGACUCCUAUGCACAGAGACACACUGGGGAAAUUCAGUUCAGUUCGGUUCAAUUCAGUUCAAACAGGUCAGUCCAGCAAACACUGACUGAGCACCUAUUAGAUGCCAUGUGCUGUACUUGGCAUUGGGACUACGGAGAUUUUUUUUUAAAAAAGGCAGAAUCUCAGCUUAUAGCUCAGGGGAAGAGGCAGCUUUAGGAACAAAUGCAGACAAGUCAGUAUGCUGAGGGCUGUAGCAGAGACAGAGAGCAUACAGGUACACACACUCACGCCCUGGUCAUUGUCAGUGUGCAUAUUUUCCAGUACUCAUAUGUGCACACACAGAUGCACACAGAGUCCCUGCACUUACACAGGCACAUACCUCACACCACAUGGACUCACGUGUGCAUGCACAACACACACAUACACACACCGGUACACUCAAGCAUCAGCAUAGCCACCCUCCCACUGACACCGCAUGCUGGUGCCUGCCUCACCUCUGUCUUUCCUGCAAGCCCAAGUUAACUUCACGCCCUGUCUGGCUUGCCCUUUCUUGGGUUCUGUUGCUGUCUAUCCUGGAAGCAGAGCCACUUCCAACAGCAGGCUGGCUAGUGUUGCUCCCACUUCUCCCAGGGGCCUGCCCAAGGUUCCAUCUUGCUGGGAGCUUCCGCAGGCUCACAAGAGGAAGGAGAAGUAGACACAGGAAGAUCUCAUUUCCAUGACCUCAGGCCAGUCCGUGCCCUGUCCCAGGCCUCAGUUUACUCCUUUUCUUUUUCUUUUUUCCUUUCUUUUUUUUUUUUUUUUUUUUUUGAGAUGGAGUCUCACUCUGUCACCCAGGCUGGAGUGCAGUGGCGUGAUCUCUGCUCACUGCAACCUCCACCUCCCAGGUUCAAGCAAUUCUCGUGCCUCAGCCUCCCGAGUAGCUGGAACUACAGGUGUGCACCACUACAUCUAGCUGCCUUUUUUGUAUUUUUAGUAGAGACAGGGUUUCACCAUGUUUGCCAGGCUGGUCUCCAACUCCUGACCUCAGGUGAUCCGCCCGUGUUGGCCUCCCAAAAUGCUGGGAUUACAGGCGUAAGCCACCGUGCGCCCGGCCUACCCAUUUUUAAAAUGUGGGAAUUGGAUGGUCUCUGAGGCCAUCAGGCUCCAGAUGUCCACAGUUUGUGCUGAAGAAGGUGGCGCCUCAGUCCAAGUCAGAGAGUGUGAGACAACUGCAGAGACGCCCCCAACCUGGAGGCAUCUCGGCCCCGCUCCGAGCUCCCAGCCUAAGAGAAGCGUUUGACCUCAGGGGCAGGCCUCAUGAGGGCAGGAGAAGUCAUGUCCUGGAGAAAAGGAGUGGCAAGAUGUGGUAGGGGAGAGAAGACUUGGUGCAAGAGGGCCAGCUGGGAUAUUUAUAGGUGCCAGCCACGGUUCUAGGGGAAUUUCAUUCUAUCUUCAAACACCUGAAGGGCUGCCGUGGGGCAGAGGGAAAGGACUUCCUCUGCAUGACCCAGUUGGUAGAACUAGGACAGUGGGAAAGUGGUGGAGGCUGCAAGGAGACAGACAGCCUUUAGUUGAAUACAGUGAUCAGCGUGAUUUCUCCGUGCGUGCACCCGCCUACCAGCAUGCGUGGUGUACAUUCUGCUGCUGUGUAUUCCGUCUCCUUGCAGCCCUUUCUUUCCUCUGCUCCCUAUAGCUCAUCCUAUGGCUUUUCAUACCGUACUAUUUUCUCUUUAUCUCAGCUUGUUCUUGGAGUAGAAAAUAUGUUCUUUUUAAAAACGAAAAUCAGAUUUUUAUUGAGGAAAAAAUAUUAAGUUCACAUGAUGAAAAAUUCAAAUUGGUCAAAGGAUGUAUGGCGAAAAGAAGGUCUCUCUCUCUGGCUGCCCAGGCUCCUCCGGCUGCCCAGGCUCCUCCGGCUCAUCGUCAUCCAGCUUCCUUCUCCAGAAACAACCACUGUUACCAAUUGUUAUGUGUUUUUUCAGAAAUAUACUGUGCGUGCAAGCA
Molecule: long non-coding RNA, 9009 nt
Organism: Homo sapiens (human)
Lineage: Eukaryota; Metazoa; Chordata; Mammalia; Primates; Hominidae
Exons: 4
Source: RefSeq, a predicted model, not a curated record